RNAcentral lists this ribosomal RNA (475 nucleotides) under Phascolarctobacterium sp. canine oral taxon 149. RNAcentral's name for it is "bacterial SSU rRNA". It matches the Rfam family "Bacterial small subunit ribosomal RNA", at positions 9 to 469 of the family's 1533-position model. Lineage: Bacteria; Bacillati; Bacillota; Negativicutes; Acidaminococcales; Acidaminococcaceae. The record is from RNAcentral.
GAGUUUGAUUCUGGCUCAGGACGAACGCUGGCGGCAUGCCUAACACAUGCAAGUCGAACGGAGACUAUUUCGGUAGUCUUAGUGGCGAACGGGUGAGUAACGCGUGGGCAACCUGCCCUCUAGAUGGGGACAACAUCCCGAAAGGGGUGCUAAUACCGAAUGUGACGAUUUAUCCGCAUGGAUUUAUCGUGAAAGAUGGCCUCUACAUGUAAGCUAUCGCUAGAGGAUGGGCCUGCGUCUGAUUAGCUAGUUGGUGGGGUAACGGCCUACCAAGGCGACGAUCAGUAGCCGGUCUGAGAGGAUGAACGGCCACAUUGGGACUGAGACACGGCCCAGACUCCUACGGGAGGCAGCAGUGGGGAAUCUUCCGCAAUGGGCGAAAGCCUGACGGAGCAAUGCCGCGUGAGUGAUGAAGGAAUUCGUUCCGUAAAACUCUUUUGUUUAUGACGAAUGUGCAGAUUGUGAAUAAUUAUUU